RNAcentral lists this ribosomal RNA (774 nucleotides) under uncultured Neocallimastigales. RNAcentral describes it as "partial large subunit ribosomal RNA". It matches the Rfam family "Eukaryotic large subunit ribosomal RNA", at positions 24 to 635 of the family's 3401-position model. The record is from RNAcentral. Lineage: Eukaryota; Fungi; Neocallimastigomycota; Neocallimastigomycetes; Neocallimastigales.
UAUCUCUGUAGAGUCUGCAUAUCAAUAAGCGGAGGAAAAGAAACUAACAGGGAUUCCCCUAGUAACGGCGAGUGAAGCGGGAAGAGCUCAAAUUUGAAAUCUUAAAGGGUUUCCCUUUACGAAUUGUAGUUUAAAGAAGUGUUUUCUGUUGAGGUUUUGGUAAAAGUUCUUUGGAAUAGGACAUCAUAGAGGGUGAGAAUCCCGUAUUUGACCUUUACUUUCAACUUUGUGAUACACUUUCAAAGAGUCGGAUUGUUUGGGAAUGCAGUCCAAAAUGGGUGGUAAAUUUCAUCUAAAGCUAAAUAUUGGCGAGAGACCGAUAGCGAACAAGUACCGUGAGGGAAAGAUGAAAAGAACUUUGAAAAGAGAGUUAAACAGUACGUGAAAUUGUCAAAAGGGAAGCGUUUGACACCAGUGUUGUUUUUCUGAAAAUCAAUUAAAGAACUGUUUAUGCUAAGUUGUUUAGACUUUAUCAGCUAACUGUUUAGUUUUGAGCUUUUCUUUAAUGCACUUUUCAGUUAACAAGUCAACAUCAAUUUCUUUUGCUGUAAAAAAGCUUGAGGAAGGUGGCUUGAGAUUCGUCUUAAGUGUUUAUAGCCUCUUGCCUAUGCAGUCGGAGAGAUUGAGGUCUGCAGCGUAGAUCCUUCGGGGCUAAAUGCAUUUGUGCUAAGUUAUAGCAUUUUAUAGACAACUUGUUGACUAUGAUUUGUCUUGUAGCUUACUCGCUUAUGUUAUUUUACCUACGCUUAGGAUGUUGACGAUCAGCUGAGCGCG